ACUCGGAAAGAUAUACAUAUAAUAACUAAAAUUUGUCAGGACUGGAAAGUAGCAGCAAUUUAGUUUACUUAUAAUUAGGUAGCUUUCCGGGUUUU
RNAcentral lists this signal recognition particle RNA (95 nucleotides) under Calliarthron tuberculosum. RNAcentral's name for it is "signal recognition particle RNA component". It matches the Rfam family "Bacterial small signal recognition particle RNA". Rfam says of the family: The signal recognition particle (SRP) is a universally conserved ribonucleoprotein involved in the co-translational targeting of proteins to membranes. Archaeal SRP consists of a 7S RNA and homologues of the eukaryotic SRP19 and SRP54 proteins. In most bacteria, the SRP consists of a 4.5S RNA and the Ffh protein (a homologue of the eukaryotic SRP54 protein). Lineage: Eukaryota; Rhodophyta; Florideophyceae; Corallinales; Corallinaceae. The record is from RNAcentral.